This 22-nucleotide microRNA is filed under the name Cavia porcellus (domestic guinea pig). The record is from RNAcentral. Lineage: Eukaryota; Metazoa; Chordata; Mammalia; Rodentia; Caviidae.
CUCAUACACGGCUGUCCUCUCU